UAAUUGCGAUAAGUAGUGCGAUUUGCAUGCUCUGUGAGUCAUCGAAUCUUUGAACGCAUAUGGCGCCCUGCAGGCUUCCUGGGGGGCAUGCCUGUUUGAGAAUCAUUUAUAAUAAUAUCCUUUGAGCCUUCAUCACUGAUCGCUUGGAACGCGCGACUGUUGCUGUGCCAGUGGGCGUCUGCUCAACCUCAGCAAACACAAACUACUUAGUGAUCUCAAAUCAGGCAAGACUACCCGCUGAACUUAA
This 247-nucleotide unclassified non-coding RNA is filed under the name uncultured Rozellomycota. RNAcentral describes it as "uncultured Cryptomycota sequence contains ITS1". The stretch from base 1 to 105 matches the Rfam family "5.8S ribosomal RNA", at positions 50 to 154 of the family's 154-position model. The record is from RNAcentral. Lineage: Eukaryota; Fungi; Rozellomycota.